This is a non-coding RNA of Danio rerio (zebrafish), 476 nucleotides long. Lineage: Eukaryota; Metazoa; Chordata; Actinopteri; Cypriniformes; Danionidae. The record is from Ensembl.
GAGAGAUAACCACAUCCAGGCCACCAUAGAGCGAGUGGUUAGUGUUUGGUAGAGGGAACCGCAUGGUGAACUAAUGCUACCAACCCACUCGGGACUGAAGGGUGCUAUAGAUGGUGGUUGUGUGUUAUUGGACUACACUAAGAUGGCUGAUGGGUUUUAAUGGAACGUUAUGAUCAUCAGCGGUCUAUUCUGGAAGGUGAGGAACACCGGCGAGUGAGCUAACAUCGCAUUCUGAGACUGGAUUGAUACGGCAGCACUGUGGCUCAGCGGUUAGCACUGUGGCCUCACAGCAAGAAGGUCGCUGGUUUGAGUCUCGGCUGGGUCAGCUGGUGUUUCUGUGAGGAGUUUGCAUGUUCUCCCCGUGUUGGCGUGGGUUUCCUCUGGGUGUCCCCCACGGUCCAAACACAAGCGCUUUAGGGGAUUUGAUGAAUGUUAUUUUAUGAAAUGUUGAUUAAAAAUAAAUUAUCUGGAAAAAC